AUGGACCUCCGGCUCUACAACAACAACCUCGCCGAUGCCAUCCCCCACCAGCUCAGCAGGCUCCCCAGGGUCAAGCAUUUCGACCUGGGCUCCAAUUUCCUCACCGGCCCGGACUACAGCAGGUUCUCGCCGAUGCCCACCGUCAACUUCAUGUCGCUCUACCUCAACUACCUCAUCGACAGCUUCCCGGAAUUCGUGCUCAAGAGCGGCAACGUCACCUACCUCGACCUGUCGGAGAACAAUUUCUCAAGGCCAUUACCGGACACGCUGCUGAAGAAGCUCCCCAGCCUCAUGUACCUCAACUUGUCCGCCAAUGCAUUCUCCGGUCGGAUACCAGUGUCGCUGUCGAUGCUGAGGAAGCUCCGGGACCUGCAGAUUGCGGCCAACAAUCUGACUAGAGGCAUCCCAGAUUUCCUUGGGUCGAUGUCCCAGCUAAGAGUUCUUGUACUCGGCGGCAACCUGUUUGGCGGUCCGAUCCCGCCGGUUCUUGGCAGGCUCCAAAUGCUACAUCGCCUUGACCUGAGGAGUGCCAUGUUGGUUUCCACAAUUCCACCGCAGCUGGGCAACCUUGGUAAUCUCAGUUUUGCGGACCUGUCCACGAACCAGCUCACCGGUGUACUACCACCAGAGUUGGCCGGGAUGCACAAAAUGCAGAAGUUUGGCAUAUCGUCGAACAAACUCGCUGGUCAGAUCCCACCCGCUCUGUUCACGAGCUGGCCAGACCUCAUAGGGUUCCAAGCGCAGAGUAACUCGUUCACUGGGAAUAUUUCGAUGGAAAUCGGCAAGGCAACCAAACUACAAGUCUUGCAUCUCUUCAGCAACAACCUUACCGGCUUUAUCUGGUAG
Molecule: ribosomal RNA, 846 nt
Filed under: Triticum aestivum (bread wheat)
Lineage: Eukaryota; Viridiplantae; Streptophyta; Magnoliopsida; Poales; Poaceae
Description: partial small subunit ribosomal RNA
Source: RNAcentral